This 909-nucleotide ribosomal RNA is filed under the name Virgibacillus halotolerans. RNAcentral describes it as "bacterial SSU rRNA". It matches the Rfam family "Bacterial small subunit ribosomal RNA", at positions 36 to 912 of the family's 1533-position model. Lineage: Bacteria; Bacillati; Bacillota; Bacilli; Caryophanales; Bacillaceae. The record is from RNAcentral.
CUGGCGGCGUGCCUAAUACAUGCAAGUCGAGCGCGGGAAGCAGAUGGAAUCCUUCGGGAGGAAAUCUGUGGAACGAGCGGCGGACGGGUGAGUAACACGUGGGUAACCUGCCUGUAAGACUGGGAUAACUCGCGGAAACGUGAGCUAAUACCGGAUGAAACUUCUUAUCACCUGAUGAGAAGAUGAAAGGCGGCUUCGGCUGCCACUUACAGAUGGACCCGCGGCGCAUUAGCUAGUUGGUGAGAUAAUGGCUCACCAAGGCGACGAUGCGUAGCCGACCUGAGAGGGUGAUCGGCCACACUGGGACUGAGACACGGCCCAGACUCCUACGGGAGGCAGCAGUAGGGAAUCUUCCGCAAUGGACGAAAGUCUGACGGAGCAACGCCGCGUGAGUGAUGAAGGUUUUCGGAUCGUAAAACUCUGUUGUUAGGGAAGAACAAGUACCGUUCGAAUAGGGCGGUACCUUGACGGUACUUAACCAGAAAGCCCCGGCUAACUACGUGCCAGCAGCCGCGGUAAUACGUAGGGGGCAAGCGUUGUCCGGAAUUAUUGGGCGUAAAGCGCUCGCAGGCGGCCUUUUAAGUCUGAUGUGAAAGCCCACGGCUCAACCGUGGAGGGUCAUUGGAAACUGAAGGGCUUGAGUACAGAAGAGGAGAGUGGAAUUCCACGUGUAGCGGUGAAAUGCGUAGAUAUGUGGAGGAACACCAGUGGCGAAGGCGACUCUCUGGUCUGUAACUGACGCUGAGGAGCGAAAGCGUGGGGAGCGAACAGGAUUAGAUACCCUGGUAGUCCACGCCGUAAACGAUGAGUGCUAGGUGUUAAGGGGUUUCCGCCCCUUAGUGCUGAAGUUAACGCAUUAAGCACUCCGCCUGGGGAGUACGGCCGCAAGGCUGAAACUCAAAAGAAUUG